UGGACAGAUUAUUGUAUUCGACUGUAUUCACAGCGUGAAACAGGGGGUUACACUGUUUUUAAACAGAAAGUGAAUCAAUUAACAUAAUAGACUCCU
RNAcentral lists this microRNA precursor (96 nucleotides) under Nicotiana attenuata. Its description in RNAcentral is "MIR6152 microRNA precursor family". It matches the Rfam family "MIR6152 microRNA precursor family". The record is from Rfam by way of RNAcentral. Lineage: Eukaryota; Viridiplantae; Streptophyta; Magnoliopsida; Solanales; Solanaceae.